GCCCCAUUCACGUGGCGGUCACGGUGACCAGCGAGCGCAGAAUUCCGCUGGACCCGUGAUGGAUGGAGUUCAACGAGAUUCAAAGCCAGAACAAAGAUGAUCCAAAAGACCUGAAGGGAACUCAAACUAAGGAACUAGACACUGUCAAUUGUUUCUCUGUACCAUCUUUGUCAUGGAGACCGGGUUGUAUUGAAAUCCUGGUCUUCAUCCAUGCUGGAUGGGACCAUAUGAAAAAUGCCACAAAGAACAAGAACCAUGCCAUAGAAGUACAUCACAACUGGGAUCUCUCAAAUGUUGGCUGGCUUCAUACUCUAGACACUAACUUCUCUGAAUGGUCAAAUGAAGCCAUGACAGAGGACAAGUUGUUGUUCAGAAGACAGUCUCCUAAAGAUAAGUAAUAAAUGACUCCCAGGCUCUUACCUUACUUGUUGGGCUAUUAGACAGCAGGCUACUUGGCUACAUUGUAUUUCACCUGAAGUUCUAGGUAUUAACCUUGACUGGUUUACAGGCAUCCUCUCCUGGAUUCCUCAAGGAUUGAAGUCCAUUAUGGAGAGGAUACUAAAAUUUAGGCUGUCUAUUUUGCUAAUCUGUAUUGUCAUCUAUGUAAUUAUAAAACGUGAACUUAAGUGUUGUUCCAAAGUCAUUGAAUGGAAUACUAAAAUAUUAGUCAUGAAAGCAUAUCUUGCUCUCCACACCUGGUACCCAAAAAUAUUUUAAAAUAAAGGUAAAACAGUUUCAUUCCUCUGAUCCUGAUCUUCACCCUUUCACAGCAGGAAGUAGCUAGAGCAGUCUUCACCCCCCAUUCCCUAAGAUUGAGGAAUGAUCAUAAGAGGUGGGGAUUGAAACUGAGCAUGAAGAAGUUAAAAAAUCUUCCCUAGAGCAAAAAACUUUGAGAUAAGCUUUGCUAACUGCGGCUGUGCAUAUUCAGCAUAAUCAACUGUUGUUUAGAACCAACCAGGUCUUUCUGUCCCUCCUUAGUAUAUGAGUGAGCUGUCUUUCCCAGGAAGUCAAGGUCCAGACAUCAAAAUUCAGCCUCACAAGGCCAAAUGCAGGCUGAAGAUGAAAACUAAUCAGAAAAGUCUGGACUCAAGGGAAAGGAAAUUCAGUCUUCAAGGCCAAACUCAGGCUGGAGGGAAGGCACCAACCAGCAUGGCCACAUGCUCCCUUCCACCCCGAAACCCCAGCACAGGCUCUCCCUCCCCUACCUGAAACCCCAGAUAAAAGCCCCUACCUUUUUCCCUUUGAGAAGCUGGAUCUGAGUUCUAACUCCCGUUUCCUUGUCUGGCUGCCUUUUCAUAGUAAACCUAGUAAACCUCUUUCCUUGCCACAAGCCUGGUGUUUCCAUUUUUUUUCUUUAUUGGCCCCAUUGUGUUUGGGCUCAGUAACAACACUAUUCAUAAUAACCACCACCUGAAAACUAAGCAAAUGCUCAACUGCAGGAGAAUGUUUAAAUAUAUUAUGGUAUGCUGAAAUAGAAUGAAACAAUAUGGAUUAAUCUCACAUACAUAAUGUUGAAUGAAAGAAGCUACACACAAAGGAGUAUAUACUAUAUGAUACCAUUUACAUGAUGCUGAAAACCAGGCAAAACUAAUGGAAUGCACUGUCAAGAUCCCCCUUCAGGAAGGAAGGUCUCAGAAUGUUCCUCAACUGAAGAGAGCUACCUGGUCCAAGAUUUUAUCCACAAUGCAGGGGCUGGGUAUAAAGGCCCUCACCCCAGUUUGGGAUAAGUGUGAAGGGCCAUCCCAGCUUCAUAGUUCCCUGUAGAGUUAGUUGAAGACUUUGUUGAGAUUGCAAUUCAGCCUAACUUCUACCUCUGCCCAAUCAUGCUUCUUUCCACCCCUUCCCUCCUCUUCUUUUCCCUCCCAGAAGUAUUGGUCCCAGCUGCACUGUAAUCUCAGAGUCUGCUUCCCUGGGAACCUAAUCUUCAAAGUCAGAGUAGAAGAUUAGCCUCAAGCUAACAUCUGCUACCAAUCCUCCUCUUUUUGCUGAGGAAGACUGGCCCUGAGCUAACAUCUGUGUCCAUCUUCCUCCAUUUUAUAUGUGGGACGCCUACCACAGCAUGGCUUGCCAAGCAGUGCUAUGUCUGCACCCGUGAUCUGAACUGGCGAACCCCAGGCCGCCGAAGCUGAACGUGCGAACUUAACUGCUGCACCACUGGGCUGGCCCCUAUAGUGUUUGUUUUUUAAAUGAUAUUUGAGAAAUACUGAAUUCUGUAUAUUAAUUUUGCAAAUUGCCAUAUUACAUAAGCCCAUUAUUAAUUCUAAUAAAUCUUCGGUUUGAUUCUCCUAAAUGUUCUAGGUAUACAAUCAAACAGUACAAAUAAUAUGACUUGUUUCUUCCU
Molecule: long non-coding RNA, 2341 nt
Filed under: Equus caballus (horse)
Lineage: Eukaryota; Metazoa; Chordata; Mammalia; Perissodactyla; Equidae
Description: lncRNA (ENSECAG00000056597.1)
Source: RNAcentral